CCCUUAGAUGUUCUGGGCCGCACACGCGCUACACUGAAGGAGGCAGCGUGUACUCCUGGAUCGAAAGAUUUGGGUAACCCGCGAAUCUCCUUCGUGCUAGGGAUUGAGGUUUGCAAUUAUCCUUCAUGAACGAGGAAUUCCCAGUAAGUGCAAGUCAUAAGCUUGCGCUGACUACGUCCCUGCCCUUUGUACACACCGCCCGUCGCUACUACCGAUUGAAUGAUUUAGUGAGGACUUCGGACUGGGACCGAUGCGGCUUUCGGGCUGCGUCGGUAUUCUGGAAAGAUGUCCAAACUGUAUUAUUUAGAGGAAGUAAAAGUCGUNACA
This 327-nucleotide ribosomal RNA is filed under the name uncultured eukaryote. Its description in RNAcentral is "partial 18S ribosomal RNA". It matches the Rfam family "Eukaryotic small subunit ribosomal RNA", at positions 1470 to 1796 of the family's 1831-position model. The record is from RNAcentral.